UACAGGGGGUGCGAGCGUUGUUCGGAAUUACUGGGCGUAAAGCGCGUGUAGGCGGUCUAUUAAGUCAGAUGUGAAAUCCCGGGGCCUAACUCCGGACGUGCAUUUGAAACUGAUAGGCUAGAGUGAUGUAGAGGAUGGCGGAAUACCCAGUGUAGAGGUGAAAUUCGUAGAGAUUGGGUAGAACACCGGUGGCGAAGGCGGCCAUCUGGGCAUUAACUGACGCUGAGACGCGAAAGCGUGGGGAGCAAACAGG
RNAcentral lists this ribosomal RNA (253 nucleotides) under uncultured bacterium. Its description in RNAcentral is "partial 16S ribosomal RNA". It matches the Rfam family "Bacterial small subunit ribosomal RNA", at positions 524 to 776 of the family's 1533-position model. The record is from RNAcentral.